This 254-nucleotide ribosomal RNA is filed under the name uncultured bacterium. RNAcentral describes it as "partial 16S ribosomal RNA". It matches the Rfam family "Bacterial small subunit ribosomal RNA", at positions 524 to 776 of the family's 1533-position model. The record is from RNAcentral.
UACGGAGGGUGCAAGCGUUAUCCGGAAUCACUGGGUUUAAAGGGUGCGUAGGCGGUUCGAUAAGUCAGUCGUGAAAUCACAUGGCUUAACCAUAGUAAUUGCGAUUGAUACUGUUGAACUUGAAUUAGGUUGAGGUAGGCGGAAUGAGACAUGUAGCGGUGAAAUGCAUAGAUAUGUCUUAGAACACCGAUUGCGAAGGCAGCUUGCUGGACCUAUAUUGACGCUGAGGCACGAAAGCGUGGGGAGCAAACAGG